AUUCAUUGGACUAUUAGGUGUUCCACGAAUACUAUCUCACGCAGAAAUAGUAGAACCACUUCCCGAGAUAGUCCAACACUCAUCUAGUGAAAGCCUAUCUCCCUAACCAUGAGGGUUUCCGUUGGGAAUAUCUCAAGAUUCAUUGUGCAGGUUCAUUUUGCACGAGCUUGAGAUAGACACUCUACAGCAAACAGAAAACCGUAGUCACAUAACCCAUUCGAUGACCUAGAAAAGCCUGUAAAAGCCAAUUGAUAGGAAAACGCGAAACCAAGGAAAACUUGAGCUUCCUAAGAACCAACCUGAAGGAUUACACUACCAGUAUGGGAGAGAACGUUAGGAACUUCGGAAUGGCGAUCACGCCAGUGGUGAUCUUGCCAUAGAAGUACACUAUGUUCUAAGUACUGAAAAGCUCUACCCUUCCGAGAGCUUAGGACCAUCUGAGAAUCCUCGCGGAGAUUUGGUCCAACCCUCGUCAGACCACUACUACUUCCGGAUAUUCCACAAGUUUCACAACCGAUCGAUCCACUUCUUAGACUUGAUAUGUGUUUACCCAACGUCACUCUUCGUAUCCCACUCAUCUUGAUAGAGACCAUUGAGAACCCUAACCUCGUAAAUACACCAGUCGGAACCCACUAACUACACGAGACGGAAUCCGCAUCCCGUAGGUGAAGGUUUAUUGGAAUGACAAACACAGACCAUAGUUCACUUGGGAAUGCGAGGACAAACCGAAUAGGAAGUACCCUCCUUCCUCUAUCAUUCAUACCUACUUCCUUGCCUAGACCUGAAUUUCGGGACGAAAUUCCCUCUAACGGGGGGAUGAUGUGACAACCAAAUGUUUAUUCCGUUACAUUACCCCGUUACUGUUAACGGAAUAUUUCAUUUUAUAAAAGUUCCGUUAAUUUGAGGUCGUAAAAUAAAUAAAUGUUUUAUUUAUUUAUAUUCUAUGUCGUUAUUUGUCGUAAUAAAGUAAAGUAAAAACACUUAAGUUACAUUUCCAUAUUAAUUUGGAAAAAGUUAAUUUUAUUACGACCACUAAAUCGGGUGCAACCAAAAGCCCCGUUUAACGGCAGUAUCGGGUANAGAUUCCCACUGAGCUUCAACUCCCCCCUAUAUAUAAGGGUGAGUGGAUUCCAUUAGAGACUUUUUACACUCUCUCCACUCUCUCUCUCUACAACUUAAAUUCGAGCCAAAAAUCGUCUGUUUCAAGCCCCAAAUGAGUAAGCCAACUAUCCUAACUUGUAAUAUAGCAUAUCUAGCCUGCAAAUUCGAGUUUAAAUCAUAAAUUAGGGACAGAAUGAAGUGUUUACGGCCCAAGAACACUCUUGGACCAUGAACACCAUUUAAUGGGGUUUUUAAGCCCCAAAACCCCUCCAAAUUGCCCUUAAGACUUGGAUAUGACUUUCAGGCUUACAUAUUCGGACUUAGAACACCUUGAAACGAGUUUUUGAAGAGUAAACAUGAUUUUACUGCCCAAGAACAUACUUGGGCCGUAAACUCCUCCUCAUGGGGAGUAAACUCAUAUUUGAGUGUUUAAAAGCCACUUAAACGCACCAAUGGCCGUAGAAUAAGUUCAAGAAUCAACCACCAACAAGUUAGGGGCCUUAAACUCAAUUAAAACAACUCCAUAAGGAGUUCAUGGCCGUAAACCCCUGAUGAAAGGGUACCUGGGCCGUAAACUCCUAUAAAGUGGUUAAGUGGUGCCCAAAAAGUCCCCAUUUGACUUGGAAAAAUGCAUAGGAUUUUAUCCUCUACCAUUUAAGACUUCAAAACACCAAAAGAAUGAGUAUAUAGGAGCUUACGGCCAUAAAUUCCUAGUUUAGGGUCGUAAACUCCUCAAAUGGUCCAUGUGAAGCGUUAAAUCCAUUCAUAUAAUUUAUUUUGGGACCUAGUAUAAAUCUACAAUUGAUAUGAGACCAUCUAGCAUCCUAGAACACCCUCACCAUGAGUUUACGGCCGUAAACUCAUGGGGAGUUGUCCCAGAGCCGUGAACUCUAUAUAUAGAGUUUACUCUUGAAGAGUAAACUCCAUUCCUAAGCCAUUCAAGCCCUUAAAUGUUACCUGGGACACCCCAAACACUUAAUCAAAGUGUUUUCCGCACUUUAGGAUGCGUGUACUUGUAUAAUUGGUAUUAUAUAUACUAAUUGUAUGAAAACAUAUGUUACCAUAGGUUAAUAGGUCACUAAGUGUAUUCAAGUCUUUACUUGACACCGAGCACCCAACCGGCACCUUCGUCGGAUCCACUUACAUCAGGUGAGUUCAUACCCCUGAGUGAACCUUUUAAAUGUUUUUACAUGUUUUAUAGGGGGGGGAAUACAAGUUAAACAUGCCAGUUAUCAUAUCAAUCACAUGUGAUUGAUAACCCGCAUGCACAAGGAUUUACCACACUGUAAACUGUUUUACCGAGUAGGAUACUAUAAAUGGUUUUCUAAAAUGUUUUUACUUGUUCAAAACUCUUACUUAUACUGUUUUAUCAAAGUUCAUUUUAAACUGGUUUAUGAAAGGUUCCCAAAGAAUUUCUAAAGGUUUUCAAACUUAUUUUACCAAACAAUACCAAGUUGUGAUUUUCUUAAGUAUAAAGGUUUUUCCAAGGUUUUCAUCAAAGUUCUCUUUCAUGCCGAAUACUCUUACUUGUUAGAUACCGCUGCUUCGCUUUUACUUAGUUUAAACUCCUACCUGAUAACGUUUCCACUUCGUGAUACACUUAUAUUUGGUAACGCUUAUACUUUACGAUUCGGUUAUUCACACUGUUCAUUUAUACUUCACGAUUCGGUUAUUCCACACUGUUCGUUCACACUUCACGAUUCGGUUAUUCCACACUGUUCAUUUAUACUUCACGAUUCGGUUAUUCCACACUGUUCGUUCACACUUCACGAUUCGGUUAUCCCACACUGUUCGGAUAUACCUCACGAUUCGCUUAUACAUCACGAUUCGGUUAUACUUCACAAUACAUUUCCACUUGUUAAACACUCAGACGUAGUUAGAUGUAUCUCUGUGCUUGUAUAGGUGCAUAUAAAUAAUGAUGGAAGGACUUAGGAAGGCUUGUCCGCCCUAUUUCCUUUUCUUCGUUGAGAUGUGGUCUGGUGGGAUCGGAUGGCCGUCCGAAGGUCGUUUGAUUUAUUAGUUAUAUAUUAUGUAUGCAAGCAUAGACAUAUAGGUUUACAUUAGUUAGUUCAGUUAUGAGUCUCUACCUCUAGUUCAACACUUAUAUUGGAAACCCACUACCCACUAUUUGGGAUGCAUCUUCGGGACACGGCCUUCUCCGUCGUCUAGUUGGUAACCAGAGUCUCCUGUAGGGAGAAUAGACAUUGUGUGUAUAGAUCUAUACGGGAUUUACACCCCCGCACCUUGACUGCUAGCUACAUUCCACGGCCUACCAAGCCAAGGGGUGACAAAUGUCAUAUUUUAUAUUGACGCUUGUAGGGCGUCAGGUAGUCUAGUGUCGGUUAGUAUGGUUACGAGUAUCCCAGGUUACCUUAUAAUUCAUGGCCUUAAGGUAACGGUAUUUCUCACUGUAUUUUACAAUGUACUUUACACUGUAUGCUGAAAACCCACUCUUAGAGUCACACUAUUUUUAGACCUUGCUAGCUGUAUCUUUUAUUUGAUACAGUCUGGGGUCUGUACUCCUUGUUUUAGACCUUACUAGCUGUGUCUUUCAUUUGAUACUGUCUGGGGUCUGUAGUCUCUAUUUUUAGACCUUGCUAGCCGUACCUUUCAUUUGGUACAGUCUGGGGUCUGUGUCUCCCUUUGUUAGACUGAGCUUGGCGUGUCGUUUGUUCGAUACUCUCCUGGAGUCUAUGAGUCCUUUUGCCUUAGUCAGCAGUUUCAAUGCUGAGGCAUAUGUUAUUUUCCCUGAUUUCUCUUGCUUUCUUUAAUAAUCAAAUUUUGUAUUUUGAUAAUGAUAGUGAUUAAGGGAAAACUACUUUUUGAUAAUGAUAUAGGAUUUUCUGGAAAAGACACUAAUUUAAUGGAUACUCUAAAACUACCACUUUUAUUAAAGUUAUUUGAAUAAAAUGACACUAAAUACUUAUGAACUCACCAGCAUUUGUAAAAAUGUUGAAACUCGCUUUGCAAAUAACUUGUAUUCUUAGGUCAGCAUUAGACAAGUACAUCCUCGGAGCUUCUGAUGAAGACAAUUUAGUACCAAGCUGUACCUAUAUUAAUACUUGUAUUACUUUGUUGUAUUGUAAUGUAAACCAUGUAAAACUAUUUCUAUUAAUUCAAUGGUUAUUGUACUUUGAUUACUAUAAUGCAUGUGUUGUGAUACUUGACAUGAUGUCAUCCACCCCAGAACGUUUCCGCCGUUCUGGUUUUGGGGUGUGACAUGUAGUUUGCUCCCGAAUCAAAUAGUAUAUUGGCAGGUAAUGCAUUUACAAGAAAGGUACCUAAAGCGACAUCUGCUGCCUCGUUCGCAGCUUCAAGCGUCAUUUGGAAGGCUCUCGCCGUCGGUUUCAGUGGAAUGUUGGGUCUUGUUGCCUCCUUCUUCUUCGGGAAGUCCCUCAAGAUGUGCCCCUCUUCUUUGCACUCAUAACAAACUUUCUUGGCAAGGGUGCAUUCAUUGGCAUAGUGCCCAGGCUUUCCACAUUUGAAACAAGUGACCUCCCCAUCACAUUUCCCAUGGUGCAUCUUCUUGCAUUUGUCGCACCAUUUGGCUUCACCUCCUCCAAACUUCUUAGUACCAGACUUUGAGAACUUUCUCUUCUUGUUGAAUUUCGAUGACCCAUCAAAUUUUCUUUUCUCACUAACCUCUAUUUUUAUAGACCAUUCUAUCUUAUCUGGGUGUCCACAUUCUUAGCAGCCCAGAUGGCGGCUUUCAGAGUGGUUGCUUGCUUGACCAUCAAACCAAAGUCCACUGGUAAUUCACGGGCAAACUUGUUAACCUUGGAGAGUUUGGUUGGAAAUAGGUAAGGAACAAGCUUCAUCUUUCCCGUAAAACUUGUAGCAUACUCAGUGACACUCAUUUUUCCCUUAUUCAGAUUUUGGAACUCAUUGUUGAUUUCCAUAAGAUCCUGCUCAGAGCACUAUGACAUCUUCAGCUGCACCAAGAAAUCCUCCCAAGAAAUUUUGUUCACUUCGCCCUUGGGCAUUGAAUCGGCUAGUAACUUCCACCAACUCAGUACUCCAUAUUUUAAUAGGGGAACCGUGAGAGUGGUCUUCUACCUGUUGCUACACUCGCAACUUUCAAACAUUGCCUCCAUCUUGGAGAUCCUGUCCAUAACUUCCACCGGUGUUGGGCUUCCAGAAAGACAUGGUGGUUUGGAUGCCAUUAAAUCCUUGUAUUUGCAACCACGUUCAUCCUUUCCUCUAUCCUGGUUGUUUCUUCUAAAUAUCGGUGGGUUGGCUAGAUCAACGGUCCCACUUUAGUUCCCUCCUUCUGACUUCCCAUCAUUUAGUUCAGGAUGUUUGAUCAGUAUUGUAGCUUCCUCUCGAUUCUGUUGAAGUAAACGUCUGGUCUCCUCCAUUUGACGAUCCAACAACAUUUGGAUCAUCGCUUGUACUCCGGCCAUCGUGAGUGGUUCAGUAGCGGCUACCAAAAUAGGUAUUUUCUCAAUCAAUGGGGGAUGUUGAUUCCUGUUUCCAUUUGCAUUCCUGACUCCACUUCGGGUUCUUUCCAUUUUGAUCUAUACAUCGAAAUAGGUGAAUUUAGAUCUAUAUUUUCGAUAGACGUUUAAAUCAUCCAUAUCUCUCUGAAACGUUUACAUGUUAGUUCUAAUAUUGUAGUCGUACGUUUAGAAUCCUAAGCACAUAAGGUUUCCAGAUCCGGUCAGCAACAUACCAUAGAUCCGAACACAUAAUAGCAUAUCAGGUAAAAAACUUUUAGCAUAUAAAAGUAUAUUAGGCAUCUUUCCUAAAAUACGCUAGUGCUCGUGUCUAAAAUAUAGUAGACACUCAUCUCACUAUCAUCGCUUAGCUUUCUAAGUUUAAGUCUAGAAAUCCUACAAAUUCCUAGUUCGCUUAAACUAAUGCUCUGAUACCAACUAUGACAUCCCCAUUUUCACGGCCAGAAAUGACCGAUUUUGUUUAUGCUUUGUUUAAAAGUUCAUAUUAAGUGUAGAUUUUUAUUCAUUUAUUAGCUAAAUUAUUGCAUUUCAUGGACAAAAGGUACUUAAAAGUGUUUGACUUAUAUUUUUAGUCAAAAAAUGAAGCUCGGAAGCACAAGGAAGCAGGAGAAGCGGUUGAGAGCUCGAGAAUGGAACAAAGAAGAAAAAAACACAAAAAAUAACACCUACUCGGCGAGUAGGGUCGACUACUCGGCGAUUCCACACGAAUAUUCGAGAAGAUAAUGACUCGGAGAGCCAGAGACUUAUCGCAUAUGGGGACUGUGAGAUGGACUCGACGAGUCGACACCUGACUCGACGAGUCGAUUCGUAUAUAUAAAGAUAACUCCUCAGAACGAUAGAGGAGAAUUUUGGAACAAUUCAGAAGUGGUUAGUUGCGAUUAAAGAGUCAGAAAAACCCCAGAGGACGAAGUUAGAAGCUAGAAUCCAAUUACGAAGGAGAUUUGAGGCAAAUUUCAUCAUUCUACUUAAUCUUUUGUUUUUCAUUAUGGUUAAACAAUUAGAAUCUGUUGGUUUGUUGUUAUUUACUUCAAUCAAGAGCUAAAACUCUUAAACUUCUGUUUGGGGAUACAAAAUUGAUACUAUGGUUUGAUUCUUGGUAGGAUUAAUUUAAAGUUGGUGAUUUUUGUUAUUUUAGUUUGCUAAAGAACCUUAUGUGUGAAUGAUAAUUAAUUUUCUGUUAAUAGGAAGGUAAUUGAUUAGCAUGAACAUCUAUUAAUUAUCAACCUCAUAUGCUAUGUGAUCACUUUGUCAUAUGUCUAGGAAUAAUGAACAUGAAACUAGAGUCAAUAAGAAAAUUAAGUAAAUUCAUGUAUGAGCUUGUGUGAUGACCAUCAACAAGAAGUUAAUUAAAGAACCAAAUUAGUUAACUAUUGCAAGUCUAAAUUAACCCGAAUAAUUAAUCUAGUGAAUUUAAUUAAAUUAGACAACUGGCCACUGUUUAAGUUAGUUUAUUUGCUAAGGAUUAGUGUAGUGAAUGCGAAUCUAAUCAAUUGAAUCGGUAACCAACAAAAGAGUUAAUCCAUUGCACUAUUACCUUGAAAUCAACCAUAGCAUCAAUUGAGUUGAACUAAACAGAAGUUCUUUCCCAUUAUUGAAUCUAGUUAAUUCUUUGUUUUCCUAUGUUUUAAAUUAAGUAAUAGUUAGUAAGUUUUCUAGUCUUGUAAAACUAGAAGAAAACCCCCUACUUAUUAGUUAAUUUAGAUAGAAUUAGUUUUUAGUUUUAAUUUUCCGUUCCCUGUGUUCGAUAUCCUACUUAUUUAACUAUACCACAAUUGAUAGGUUCACUGCCUUCGUGUGUUUAUUUUAUAAUUAAAAGUAGGUUUAAAACUAAGUGAGUUUGCACACAUCAAGUUUUUGGCGUCGUUGUCGGGGAACGGUUCUAAAAUUAACGUUAAAUUCUAGUUUUAUUGAUCCUUUGUGUGGGAUUUAUCUUACACAAAGUUAUUUAAAAGGUAAUUUAGUAAGUAGUAUAAGUUUUGAUAAAAAUUCGUUUUUAAAGUAACUAGAAAAAAUUUUCUGUGUUUUGCCUUGAACUCGCCGAGUGCACUCGUGCCGACUCGGCGAGUACAUCGCUGUUACAGUUUUAAUGUUUUAUUUUAUUUUUGUUUAUAGUUGUUUCAUGACCCGAGGAUCUGAUACACCUCUGGUCCCUCCUCUUGAAGACCCGGAAUCCGCACUAAGGAGGAGCAAAGGCAAAACCGUUGGAGAAUCCGCUUCUUCAAAGAACUUGCCACUCAAAAACCUCAAAUCCGUUUUCAGCAAGAAGAGGAGCAGCAAAUCAGGAGCAUCCAGUGCCUCUUUGACAAUCGAAGACCCAAUUCAAGAAGACACUGAGUACGAGACCGAGGAAGAAGAAGAACCCACAUACGAGCACGAAUCCGAGUUUGAAGACGAUUUAGCUAUGGCUAAUAUCGAUGAACUCCCCAUGGGGUAAUGGAAGAAGAGGAUGCGCGAUGACACCGGCCCGGGACUUGUGCAACCUGCAAUUCCCACAACCGCUACAUUUGAACUAAAAGGCCAUAUUCUCGCUCAACUAAAGGAGAUUCCUUUUUAUGGGAAGGACCAUGAAGAUGCCUACAAGCACUUGGACGAAGUGAAUGAUGUGGCUGACUACUUCAACGUACCGAAUGUUCCAUGCGAGACCCAACUUCUUCGCAUGCUUCCAGUCACGUUCAAAGGUGCUGCAAAGGAUUGGCUAAAGUCACUUCCUCCCGGAUCGGUCACCACAUGGGCCAAAGAAAGCCAUUGCCAACUUCGAGCAACAACCUGGAGAAUCUCUGUAUGAAGCUUGGGAAAGAUACAAGAGCUUGCUUAGGAAUUGCCCACACCAUGACCUCAAUAGCCAACAAGAGGUCUCCAUCUUCUAUGAUGGAGUCAAUGUCACUACAAGGCAAUUUCUCGACUCACAAGGCCCGCUCACGAAGAAGGCGCCCCCGGUAAUCAAGGAGCUAAUUGAAGAAUUCUCUAAGCAUUCUAGAGAAUACCACAAUCCAAGAAAUGAAGCAAGUCGGCGGUAGUGAACUCGGAAAAUGAUAGCAUGGCGGCACUGAUAGCUAAGCUCGAUAGUCUAGAUAGAAGGAUGACAAAAAUGGAUCAAAAAAUCCAUGCUAUACGGGUUGGAUGUGAGAAUUGUAGAGGGCCCCAUCUCACAAAGGAUUGUGAUUUGGAUGAAAAUGGAAAUAAGAAGGCUCAAGUGUUCUAUUCAAGUGGCGAUCGAUACGACGAGAAUUGGCGGAAACCGAAGAAGGAAUGGCUCCCAUACGAAGAAUACAAGAAGGCUAAGGAGGAGAAAUACAAGCAGAAGGAGAGGGGAUUCUAUCAAAAGGAAGAAUCGGUUGCCUUAAGGACAUUUAUUGCUGAUCACUAGGGUGCACACUACUACCGAGGGGGUUCCUUAGCAAUAAAUGUCCUUAAGGCAACCAUGAGGGGGAUGGAGUACAUCGGUGAACACAUCAUUCACAAACACCUAAAGGUUGCGAGCCUGCUAGUGUUCCACUAGACUGUCUAGAAAAGUCUGUGGUCGUCAUCUAUACUCCGCUAGAUGACUGGAUCAACAUCAACAUCAAGGCCUCUCAUCAUUUUAUCAUACAUCGUCUAUUACAUCUAACCAUGUUUUACCCCAACAUUAUUGUAGAUAUAAAAUACAUAUACAGUUUAAAUCAUUUAAAACAUGUAUAAAAAUGUUCAUCCAACGUAGACAACAAGUAUUCAGAUAAUAUGCACACAUAGCACGUAAUUUAUAUAAAAUACUUCAUAUCUAUGUCCAAGAUGAAAUUAACUAUGCACUCACCUGUAAAGGUGGUGACUCUGCACUCAGACAACGCUUCGUUUACUUAAAACAAUUUCCUUUGACAAAACCUAGUAUCAUUACCACUAGAGUUUAGUCUAAUUUUCACCGAGACUAAUUAAUAGUCUUGCUAUUAUUACUAUUAUAUAAGCGUUAAAACAAUACUUUUCACCCACCAUGUACAGAAAAGGGCCAGAUAUGAAACACCGGGGGGUAGGACCAUUUUGGCAUAUAGCACUUCUGAAAUCCAACAACCCAAGCCGCCCUCCAAACCAGAUUCCCCGUACCGCGAGUAGUUAAAAAGAUAUUAUAACGACACUUAUAUAACUCAUAAUAAUAGCUCAGAUAUUUAUUCAAAAGUCCUAAUAACAUUAAUAUAUUUAAAUAAAAGCUAUAUUAAAAAUUAGGUAAGUGUAUUUCACUUACAGCGGGUUUUUCUCGAAAACCGGGCUUCGCCGAAGCGGAGUUUCUGAGCCGAAAAGCUCUUUUCUCGGAGCCUUCCGGAGCUCUGGGGCUUCCUUUGGGUGUUAGGGGGUACCCUAGGCUUUGAGGGGGGGGGGGGUUAGGUUAGUAUAGAGAGAUAGUAGAGAGAGAAAGAAUUGAUGGAAGGGAUGAGAAAAUCGGUUUCCCUCGCAGCCCUUUUAUACGCGGAGCCUCGCAGGUACGUUGGGCGUAAUCCUCGGGUACGUGGGGCGUACUUCGGUCCACUAGGCUUAGCCUUCAGAUGAUGCGCAUUCAUACAAGACAUGUGUCCGAAAUGUGGUGGUUCUAAGUGGCUCGCUUCGGAACCGCACAAGGCUCGUACGUGGGGAGUACCCUAUACCCUCGCACAACCUUCGCAUUUUACACACUCGGCUUCUAAAAUUCGUAACUUUCGCAUACAAGCUCUGUUUUCAUCGUUCUUUAAAUCCAUACGUAGGCGGGACCAUACUCUAUGACUUUCGUUCAGACUCUGUCGGCUAAUUUUGACUUUAUUUUUAAAGUUAUAUUUUUAAUAGGCCGGGACAGGAAUAGUCCAUUAAAUAUUCAUAAAUUCUUCAUCCGACGUCCGUUUUUGUCUGUCUUUUUACCGUUACGCUACUAUUAACGAGAUCUUUGAUUCUCGUUUAGGUUGUGUCGGCUAAAAAUCGCUCGAUCUAAUAUUCGAACUCCGGGCUGCACACUGCUAAGCCGAAACUUAGAAAAAUCAUAACUUCCUCAUAUGAAGUCAGAUUUAGGUGUUCUUUUUAUGGACGCUCGUUGUUUAACGUAUACUACGAAUUUUGUUUAGAUUGCUAAGGCUAAAAUCACUCUAUUGUAAAUUCACUAUUUACGCCACACAGUGUCGUGCCGGUUCUGUUGAGAAACUUCGACAAGCCAUAACUUCUUCGUUAUAACUCGAAUUUCGGCAUUCUUUAUAUGUUCAAGAAUCCUUGUCACGACCACUACAACUUUCUUCAUCGAUAUCGGGUUUAUCUAACACUUAAAUUUUGACGCUUUUUUUUAUCUUUUAUUUAUUAUGUCAUUAUAAACAAAUAUAAAGCACAUAAAUUCACAUAAUUCACAUAAUAUUCAAGUAAUUCAUCUUUAUUUCAUCAAAAUAGGUUACAAUGGUUGACCUGACUAUUACAUCACUUCACUAAUGCUUAGCCCGUAAACACGGGUGUUACAUUUACAUAAGUAUGUAACUUAAGUGAAAGAUAAAAGGAUCUAGUACAUAUUGAUGUGAACUCGUCAGAUCCACCACAAAGGACGAUAAAGUCUAUUCGUCAUGAUUUACUGAAAGCUCAGUAAAUAUGAUUAUGCUUACAAGAUUGAAGUAUAAUUUUGAUACAUUGAAAGGAUUCAAAGUAUAUCCGAACGAAUAAGAAGAAUCAAAUAAGGCAUAAAGAUAAAAGGUUCUCCACUCUAAAAGGAAAGGAGAGUACUUGAGUAUCUUGUUUUAUAAUCAUCAUAUUGAUUAUGGAAACAUGUCACAAUUGAUCCUCUAAGGAUACAUUAGUGCAUAAGUAUGACCAAGAAGAGGAAUCGGUAAUUGUUGAAAUAAUUAAAUCAAGAAGAUGAGUCAUACUUCGUUCCAUUAUCAAGUCUUAGAGUCAUACUCCAAGAUUGUACAUUGAGUGACAUAUCUUAAGUAGGUUUAUAAUGCCUCAUGAAAUGUGGAGUAGAAAUGUUUCUUACACAUUUGAAAUUGGUAGCUGUGAUGUUUUGGAUAAAACAAAGAUCAACUAAGACCAAUUACAAGAAGUGUUCUCUUGAUAGGAUCUCACACUAAAUCUUGAAUAUUUGUUUAUCAAGGAAUGUUUCUUGACAUGAGAAUCUUAUAUGUCAAGAAGGUAGUGGGAGUCUUAAUGGUCUUGAAUUGUUUCAAGAACUAAUCAAGAAUAAACCUUUUAGUUAUCACUAGCACACAACAUGAGGUUUAUAACCUAUCGUGAUUGACAUAUUCUUGUUUCUGUGCCCAUUCCAAUUUAAGUUGAUUAUGCAUGUGACUUCUAUGAGUUCUCAAUUGUUUGCAUAAGGCAAUGCACCUUGCUCAGUGAAAGUUCUUUGAUUGGUAUGGAUGAGCUGUUGAAUAACAUGGAAGCAAUGGUAGGACCCAUGUGCUACCAGAUGGCAAGAAAUUAAGAUUAAGCAAGUUCAGUCCAUAUAAGUUUGAAUUUGUCAUAAAACUUUUCUUAUGAUAGUGGUCCGAAAUGACAGAUUGACAUGGAUAUGAACAUAUACACCAUAAAAUCUAAGUGGCAAAAGGUUUCUCUCCAAUUCAUGUAAAUGAUUGUGAGGAAAUGCUUUCACUAAGUAGAUUUUAAAGGAUUAGAUUUAGCAGUUGUGAUAAUUGCAUUCUCAAAUUCGAUUAUGAUUACGGCAUCCCUCUUCCAACUUGGAAUUGUGAGAAAUGGCAAAUAGUUUGAACAUUCGGGACUUAUUAUUUUAAGUUCUAAAAGGUUCAAACACACGCUCGUGCUAUUUAAUAAGAAAGGUGUAUGAGCUUGAGAAGUUUGGAAAAGACUUUUCGAAGCACCAAGUAUCAGAAAUCUGAAAUUUGGUAAGAAAGUCAAUAAGUAUUGAUUUCUAGAAGUCCAGCUGAUUUAUGGGUACACGUCAAGGCUAGUGGGAGCAUAAGGGCUGUCCUAAAGUAAACAAAAUUGUUAUGCUAGAAAGAGUAUAAUUGUUAAGCUAGUGGGAACGUAACUGAUGAGUUUAAAACUCUUAGAUCGAUUAGAUCUUUCACAAGCACGAUUAUGGAAAUCAAACAAUUCAAAAACAAUAUGAGAAUGAACACAAAUCUGAAUCAAAUAUAUGUUGAUGAUUCAAAACAGAGUCACGCCUCAGCAGAGCUCGAUGAAGAACUUCCGUUGUAGAGGCGAGCUAGGGUUUACAGAAUUAUGAAACAAAUAAACAGUGAAAGCGAUAACUACUAAGUCGUCAUGCAUGCAACUUAUAUACUAAACCCUAGUACAAAAAUAUGCACGGUUGGACAGGCCCAAUACCGGCAAUCAAAUUGGGCUAAGGACCGAGCCCAUGACGCAAUCUAAUAGACCCAACAAUCUCCCCCUUAGCGUCAUAUGAGGCGAGAGAUUAUUUCCUCUUAGUGGGCUUCACCGUCUUUAUAACUUUAAACAAACGCGGAAUUAUGGCGAGAAGAGUUUGUCUAAAUUGUAUGUACCACCUCAGCAUGUCGGUAAAUAACUUCUUAUCAGCAGCAUUGUUCUGAUCGCACCUCUGAAUGAUCUCAAGGAUAUGCUCAAGACAAGACAUUGAGAAGAGGUGUUUGUCUACAAGAGCGAACAGACAUUCUUGACCUUCGCCCCUGAGGAACAUAACUGUGUGAUACUUUAAAUCGAUUUUCCCCUUGAUCAUGGUAUUGACAUUGCCAGCUCUGCCCAUAGGCUUGAUCGUUGUUCGCUUGUGUAUGGCAGGGGCAAUCCCUAGUCCAUNCCAUCUUCGCUACCUCAUGUAUGUAGCAAACAAGCAUACGCUUGACAUGAUUAAUUAUUGGCUGAUACUCCAGAGGAUUCAACAGAAGAAUGUUAUUGAGGAGUAUCCAGUCGUGAGGAUUAAGGUUUGGUAGAUCAGCGAGGGUAAAAUGGUAGACCGAGCCUUCGGUUCCUCGAGGCACCCAGAAUUUGACAUUAAUAAAUUUCCCUACUUAAUAGGGCUUCAUUACCUUGACGGUGGUUAUUUUCUUUGAGCUCCAAGUCAGGUAUUAGGGUUGAGCAAACUCCAAGUAAAACUCCAGAAGAUCCGUAUCUACCUUCGCAUCUGGGGAAGGAAUAGCAAUAGUCGAGUUAAAGUAGUGGAAGACAAAUGCCUUUCGUGUGAUUGGCAUAUCGAACUUUGCAUCCUUGGAAUUAUCAAGACCAAAGGACAUUAUUGGCUCAAGCCAGAGAAUGCUUGGCUCAUCAAUUGCACAUCUUUGAAGAGAGUCUAUUGUCCACACAGGAAACAUGGACUUUUUCUUUUCUAGGAGCUCCGUCUCCUUUCGCUUCAGCUCUAGGUUAGCUUGAUGUUUCUUGAUGUUUUCUUCCAAUUCUUUUUCAGAGGUCUUAACCUUCUGGAAGGGAUUCUUGGGAUUAUUCUCGACAUAGACAUCAUCUUCAUUGUCUGUGUCGUCAUCGCCAAUUUUCUUCUUCUUUUUGUCUUUGUUACUGACCGAAGCUUCAUUACCCUUCGGUUCAGUAGAUGGUUUUGAUCCAGAGGGAGGAGGUUGCGUUGUCACUUUCUCUCCCCCUUGUUUCGGUUGGUCCCCGGUCAUCGGAACAUCCUCGAUACGGCUAAUAAAGUCCAAUGCCGGUCUAAGCUUGUCCGCCAGAUGACGCCUGACAGUUAUAGUAAUGAUCGGAUCAUGAGCCUCAAUAAGAUGAAGAAGGAUAGAGUGAACAUCUGCAGCAGAACUCCUAAUGACCUCCUUUUAUGACCUGAGGUCAUCAAUCUCAGCAUUAGCAGUACGCAACUUGUGUGUUUGCAAUUUAAGCUGGGCAGUACGUCUGUCUAGCUCAUCCACAAUGAGAUUCUCCAUAGCUAAAUCCGCCUCCAGUUGAGUUAAGUGAUCGUCGACAUUAGCAUGGAGUGUUUCAUUGGCUUUUUCAAUGGCUUGGCGUUCCGCUUCAAGGUUCGAGCGCUCAGAUUGAAGAGACUUUUGAAGGUUCUCUACUAAAGCAUUGACUGUUUGAGCGUUUUUGGCAGUAGCAGCCUCCAAGGAUUCUAGAAAUAAAUGAGCUUCGGAGACUAGUUUAUCGAAUUUUGCGGUCGCUUCCUUGCACUCCUUAGUAGAGGCAUCAACAGCAAGAGAGGCUUGUUGACAUUAGGAAGUAGAGGCUUCGAUUCCCUUGGCUGCAGCAGAUAAAGUAGCACUGUGUUCGGUGACGACCGAGGAGAACAAGGCCUUCAAGGCAGCUUCAAAAUAGGCACUAGAGGAAGAGGAUGAAAGUAGUUGAUCAAGCUUUUCGUUUACUGCCUUGAGAUGACGUUAUGUAACAGGCUCAUCGUCAUCAUCAUCGCUCUGCACUCGAUAAGGACUGAAAUAUGUGGAAUCAAAUUCCAAAUCCUCACCACCUAGAAUAGGGGUUAUUUCAGUAGAUUGUGUGGGAGAUAAGGGUUUUGAAGAAGGUGGAGGUUCGGUUGUGACGGGAGGUUCGGUUGCAGGUGGAUUGGGAACAGUUGAGUGAGGUUUUGCGGUAGUGGUGGUAGUGGUGGUAUCUGUGAAAAUGGGAGUAGGAAUAGGAGUGGUAGUAAAUGGUUGAGAGGUGGUAAUUGGAGAGAUAGGAGGGAUGGAGACUGGGAUUGUUACAGGUGGAGGGGAAGGAGGAUUAGAGCGAAAUGGAAUUUCUGGGGUAGGGGAGCGAGGCGGAGUAGCACCUCGGCCCGAAGCCUCAUCGUCAGAACUUUCGCCCUCAGAUUCUGAAAGAGGAGCGUUCUUCUGCAUAGGGGGAACAUAUUCUGAAUCUGAAUCACUGGAGGAUUGAAGAAUAAGUCUCCUAGCAGGCUUCAACUGCUUCUUCGGUUGAGCCUGAGAAGUGGCAGCUUUAUCAGUUUUCCGCUUCUUGGGGGUUUGCCCCUUAGUUGGUUUAAUGAUCAGACCUUCCUUCUGUGUUUCAGGCUUCUUACCUCUCUUGGCUGGCUUGUCAGCCUCUUCAAUUGAACGAAUCAUGGCCGGAGUAAGUUCUCUUGGGCCAACAGAUGGACGCUUCCAGUACUGUUGAAGAACUUUACUCGACUCAGAAAUACGACUGAGCAUUGCUUCAGGAAUGGAUCCAAUAAACGGUGGGAUCCGUGAUGAUAAUUUUUGUCAUAUGAAAGGUAGCAGUGGAUGAGAGCAAGGAGUCCGCCAUUAUUGGAACACGAAGGCGGUCCAUUUCCCAAUUGGUGAUGAGAGACCAAAAACGCCCACAGGAUAUCUCAGAAUGCCUGGAUGAAGAGACCAAGCUUUGGACCAACUGCUGCCAGAUAAUGGACCCAUAAUCUAGGUCAAUACCAUUGUAUAACCUAUACAUUACCGUCAUGAAGGACUUGCUGGCACCAUCAGAGCCAGCGCUUCGCCCAGAAAGCCCCUUGAACAACAGCGUAAAAAGGCCAUUCCAUUGAGGAGGAAGGUAGGACUUCUUGAACUUCGUAAUGGUGGUUAGGAUUUCAGUAUACCCUAUUUGAUAGAACAUGGAAAACAAUUGACCAGUUGUAAUAGAGUUAGGGUUUACCAGAGAUGGAUCUUGAGAAAGACCAAUUAGGGCACAUAAUUGAUGCUUGGAGAUGUAGGUCUUCUCAUCGUGGAGUUCAAAGUGAAUGCGUUCAUUAAUCAUGUUAUAGAAGGCAAUAGAGUAGACAAGAAACAAGCACGACAUGGGAACAACUUCAACUUUAGUCAAUGCGUCGACGAGUGGUGAGUAUUUGAGACACUCAACCACAUACAGCAUAUAGGGCUCAUAAACAAAUGGGGUGAGAUCAAUGAUCAGGUUCUGUUGGGGUUUGAUGGUGAGAAGAGGUUGACGAACUGAAGUAUCAUGAACGGAUGAUGAGUCUACCAUUGUUGUAGCUUGGAGAAGAUGAUUAACAGUUGCAGAGAAUCACCGGUGUUCUUUGAGAGAUUAUGAAAAUGAUAAAAGUAGAGACAGUAGCGUUCCAUUUCCUUUUAUAUGUACAAGGAGAGAGAGAAAAAUCCGGCUGAAAUCUUGGAGUAUCUCAAAAAUAGCGCCUUACUUGAUGGGUGAACAGUUGGCAUGCCGAAAAUGACGCAGAAAAGAGAAAGGACGUUUCCUUUUUACACGCCAUUCCAUAAAAUGUACUUUUUCAAAUCGCAAAACUGUUUGGAUAGCCGCUGAGUCAGCUUCCACUUUAUCCCAAUAGUUUUUCCACACGACGUUUGAAUCUUUGUAGCCCUUAGCGUUUUAAUGAUCAUUCUGAACAGAACUAGAAUUUGGAAAAUUGAAAAUUUUCGUGCAUAGGGUGUAAAAGAUAAAGAAAUAAAAUAAAAUUUUAGGGAUAAUCUGUGAUGUCGUAAGCAGACAUAAAACAAUUGAUUAUGGGCAAAAAUCACUUCCUUCAAAGUCAAGAGAGACAUUAAAGUGCUUGUUUGGUUUCCCAUUGAAUAACGAUCAAUAACUUGUUGAGAAGUUUUGAAAGGCAUCUUUUGAAGGUUAAAGAGGGUGGCUUUUGCUUCAAAUCAUAAUUUCGAUACUUAACAUAAGACCGAAACUGAAUGAAGUACUUGUGAGAUCAUUGUGAUCUGUUGAACAAGUAGGUAUGAUAAAUUUUAUAGUGACGAGGGAAGGAAGAAAUGUCAAAAAAAAUAUUAAAUUGGAUCUUUUAGGGUUAGAGAAGCCUUGGUGAAAGGCAAGCUCAUAAAGAUCACUCAAGGAAAAAAAAGAUUUCAUAUGGUAACAAGUAAGAUCUUGAAUUUUUGAAUUCACCGUCAAUACAUUAGUGGUGUUGAACUUUGGGUUUCACUUAGUACAUGGUGACAUGAAACUAAGAUCAUGAACAUAGACUUGGUAUAACCAUAAACCUCAGUGGUUAAUACUAAAAGUCUCAGGGGUUAUAUUGUGGAAACGAAUUAUAGUGGACAAAAAUGAUGAAGAUGGUAUAAGAAGCAAAUGUACCUCUGCUCUAAAGAAAAGGACUAAGCAGAAUACUCUAAACUCAAUUUGAGUAGAGUAAGGUGGCUCACGAUUAGAGUGAAUUUGAUAGCCUGGAUUGGGAAAACACGAUUGGUAUAUAUCAUGUUAUUAAGGCUUCACUCAAAAUCUGUCGAGGCUUUAGUCAACAUACAGCAGCAUGCUUCUAGGGACUCCUAACUAAUAAAACCAUUUACCUGCCUUAGCUGUGCCAUCGAGAAUCAUACUUAAAAAAAUAAAGACAUUAAAAAAAAUUAAAAUAAAAUUAAAAAAUAAAAAAUAUUUUUGAAUUAUGUGAGAAUAGACCAAUUGAAGUAAGUAGAAAAGAAGUAAUGAAAAGGUGUACAUAAGAAAACAGUUGAAAUGCCUUAAAAGGAAAACGAACGAGUUCAGAAGGACCGGACCCGAAAUAGACCGAGCGUUCGGUUCAUUUCGGUUCAUGAUCGAACUUCUCCCGAAGUAGACCAAACGCGAAAUAGACCGAACGUUCGGUUCAUUUCGGUUCGCUCUAUUUUGCUAGUUACCUUUACGGAAGCGAAGGCGAUUUCAGUACAGAUUCGGCUUGCAUCAUUCCUAGGCCUUGAAGAAUCUUAUUGAAGCUUGCUUCGGGCAAGGCUUCGUGAAUAUGUUUGCCAAUUGAUCAAUCGUUCUGACGAAGUGAAUUUCUACAUUACCAUCUUCGAUGUGAUCCUUGAUGAAAUGGUACCUCAGUGCUAUAUGCUUAGUCUUCGAAUGUUGCACGGGGUUGUGACAAAUCCUAAUCGCACUUUUAGAGUCACAAUACAGCGGGAUUUUCUUCAUGUUUAGCCCAUAAUCCCUAAGUUGACUUUGUAUCCAUACAACUUGAGAUGUACAGGAUGUUGCAGCAAUAUAUUCAGCUUCUGCAGUAGAAAGCGAAACACAGGUUUGUUUCUUCGAUUGCCAACUGACUAAUUUACCAUCUAGAAUUGACAUCUUCCUGUGGUGCUUUUACGAUCUAAUCCACAGCCACCUAAAUCAGCAUCUGAAAAUGCUUGAACAAAGAAUCCUGAAUUGGCUGGAUACCACACACCGAGAGAGGAAGUUCGCUUCAGAUAGCGAAAGAUAUUCUUUACGGCUUGAAGAUGAGGUUCUCGUAGGUUGGCUUCAAAUCGUGCACAGUAGCAGACAGAGAACAUGAUAUCAGGUCUACUGGCUGUAAGAUACAUUAGAGACCUAAUCAUCUGUCGAUAAAGUGUUAUAUGAGCUGCUGGUUUCUCCAAUGAUGGUGUGAGUUUAGUUCCAAAAGCCAUAGGCACUUUCACUUUGGAGUCUCCCAUCACUCCAAACUUGGUUAGCAAAGUCUUGGUAUAUGUUUCCUGAUUAAUAAAAAUGCCUUCGGGUCCCUGUCUAAUGUUCAAUCCAAGAAAAAAGUUAAUUGGACCCAUUGAGCUCAUCUCAAAUUUAGUUUCCAUCAACUUUCUGAAUUCAGCUGUUAAGCUAGAAUUCGUGGAGCCAAAGAUGAUGUCAUCAACAAAAAUUUUGACUAUCAUAAGGUGGUUACCUUCUCGCUUACGAAAGAAGGUUGGGUCAACCGAACCUUGUUUGAAUUUAGAAAUUUUUAAGAAACAAGUGAGAGUUUCAUACCAUGCUCUAGGAGCCUGUUUGAGGCCAUAUACAACUUUGUCAAGAAUAUAACAAUGAUCUGGAUACUUCUCAUUCACGAAGCCUAGCGGUUGCUCAACAUAUACGGUUUCUUCAAGUUCACCGUUGAGGAAAGCACAUUUGACGUCCAUUUGAAAGACUUCAAAGUUAUUGUGAGCAGCGUACACAAGAAAGAUACGAACAGAUUCUAAUCUUGCCACGGGAGCGAAGGUUUCUUCAUAAUCGAUUCCCUCUUCCUGACAAUAUCCUUUGACGACCAGCCUCGCUUUGUUACAAAUGACAAUUCCCUUCUUUGUCCAUCUUGUUUUUGAAUACCCAUUUAAGACCUACAACUGAAGCAUCCUUUGGAGUUGGAAUAAGACGCCAUACCUUGUUUCGUUCAAACUCGUUUAACUCAUCCUGCAUAGCUUGAACCUAGUCUGAAUGAUCAAGAGCUGAGUUAACAGUCUUUGGUUCAACUUUGGAAACGAAUGAAUUGAACAUGCAAAACUCGACUUUUGAAAAGAGUACAACCUGUUUCGCUUUGAUUUGAGAGCGAGUUAACACUUUUUCUGAGGAUUCCCCAAUAAUUUGACUUUGAGGGUGAUCUUUGAUCCAUUUGAUAAGUGAAGGAAACUUUGGAUCAUAGAUAGGAUCCAAUUUAGCGUUGAUUUCUUCCUCUAGUUCAGACAGAAUGUCACCAUCACCAAUAUUGGUGUUCUCCCCCUCGACAAAUGAUUCCAGUUCAGGACCAGCAUUUGUAUCCCCUUCAUUGGCUGGAAUUUCAGUAGAGCUUGAUGUAUUUGGCGAUGAAUUCUCCCCCUGGAAUGAAGAUCCUUGAUCGUGAUGAGGAGAGGAACCCUCCCCUGGACUUUAGGACGGUCACAAGAAGGUUCGCUUGUGUCUGCGCCUUCGAUUUCUUUGGAUUGAUCUUCAGCCAUAUCCUUAGCAGCAUCGUCUAUAACUUGUUUCAGAUUAUCAACUUUGUUGUCUUUUGCAGUUGAUUCAGAGUCAAUCACCUUUUGAGGCUCAUCAAAUAGGAGCAUGAAUUGGUCGAAAAGAUUCGAGAUAGAGAUAGUGACCUGACAUUCUUUGGAAAUAUGUCGUGUGAUACAGCUUCUGUUGAUUUCAUUUUGUUAACAUAACUAUCGUCAAAGGUGACAUAGUAUGUUUCUUCAAUUUUCUUUGAGCGUUUAUUGAGAACACUAUACGCCUUGGAGUUCAGGGACUAGCCUAAAAAAAUUCCUUCAUCCGCCUUAACAUCGAACUUGUUUCGAUUCUCUUUGGAGUUGAAAAUGAAACAUCUUGAACCGAACACAUGAAAGAAUUUCACAUUUGGUUUUCGAUUGUUCAGGAUCUCGUAAGGAGUAAGUGAGAACCGCUUAUUCAAGUAUGAUCUAUUUUGAGUGUAACAUGCAGCCGCAAUUGCAUCAACCCAGAAAUACAAAGGUAAGGACGCGAAGCAUAACAUAGUUCGAGCAGCUUCACAGAAGGACUAGUUUCUCCUCUCAACAAUGCAAUUUUGUUGUGGAGUAUAAGGGGCUGAGAAAUUGUGAGUUGUCCCCUUUUCAGCAAGAAAACCUUCAAAAUCUUUGUUCUUGAAUUCCAAGCCAUUGUAGCUCCUUAUAUUACGAACUACUUUUCUUAGUUGCGUUUCUAUCUAUUUAAUAAAGAGCUUGAGCUUUGGAGUGGCUUCAGACUUUUGCUUGAGAAAGAAAAUCCAUGUAAAUCUUGAUAAAUCAUUUGUUUCCUCUAAUGCUUUCGAUGGACAAUGGACCACAUAGAUCAAUAUGCAAUAACUCCAAUGGUUCUAUCACCUAAGUGUUGAUAAUAGAAGGAUGACUCUGCUGACUCUGCUUUCCCAUUUCACACGCUGCACAUGUAUGUUCUUUAUCAAAUUUUAGAAUUGGAAGACCUCGAACGUGAUCACCCAAAACCAGCUUGUUGAUAUCCUUGAAGUUCAGAUGAGAUAGUCUUCUAUGCCAUAACCAACUUUCAUUAGAGUGAGCCUUUGUUAGUAAGCAUACAGCUGGUUUACCUCUUAUCGGGUUGAGGUUCAAAGGAUACAUUUCCUCCUUUCACUAUGAUUUCAACAGAAUGUUGUUUGUUCUUUUCUCGACAAUGUCUGAGCCUUCAUCGUCGAAUGAUACUUUUAAUCCAGUACCAACUACCAGUUGUGAUAUGCUGAUGAGAUUGUGUUGGAGUUCUUCAACAUAAGCUACCUUCCUUAUAGAGAACUCGCCAUUAGUGAUCAUUCCAUAGCCUUUGAUAGUUCCAAAAGAAUUGUUGUCGUACUUUACAAUGCCACCAUCUUUGAGAGAACGAAACUCUCUCAAUUCCUCCUUCCUUCCUGUCAUGUGACGCGAGCAACCACUAUCGAUGUACCAUUCUUCGUCAAACUGCUCGUCACUUAUAACCUGCAAAAUAUUAAGCAGAUUUAGGAACCCAAAGUUUCUUGGGUCCUUGUGAGCCUUUUACAGGAUAGGGAAUAUUAAGAGAAAUAUCAACCAUGUGUGUACGUUUAUUUAAAGUUGUUUCAUCUUUCCUUUUAAUGGUGAAAACUUUAAUUUUUGUUGAUUUAGUAGAACUGGAGUUUUUGAUGUUAACAUUGGUGCUCUUUUGAUUCGCUUUUGGAAUAUUUUUAUCUUCAUGGUAGAGUUUUUCUUUUCCCUUAGAAGUGAUUGGGGAACUGGAAUUUGAAUGAGAAGAGUUGAAUUUAGAAGUGACUUUAGAAUCCCGGUUUUUCUGAUUAGACUUGUAUGGAUGGGGACCAAAACCACUAUUUCGGUUGCCAUGGGAUGAAGGACCGAAACUCUCCUUUCGGUUGUUAUUAGACGAGGGACCGAAACCAUUCUUUCGGUUGUUAAUGAGUGAAGGACCGAAACUCUCCUUUCGGUUGUUAUUGGUUGAGGGACCGAAACCGUUCUUGCGGUUGUGAAUGGGUGAAGGACCGAAACUCUCCUUUCGGUUGUUUUUAGUCGAUGGACCGAAACCACCCUUUCAGUUCCUAUUAGAUGAAGGACCGAAACCAUCUUUUUGGUUGGUAUUGUGGUGAGGACCAAAACUGCUCUUUUGAUUCAUCCUGAAGAGGGACCGAAACUUCUCUUUCGAUUCCUUGAGUCUUCUUGUGAUUUGUGCUUCCUUUCUAUCCUUACAAAAUUAGGAUUUUGAGAAUUCCAAAACUGUUUUCUCUCUGAGAGAUUCUUCUUAUAUCUCAGAUUUCUUUGAUGCUUUCGAUCAGCCACCUAUUUUGGAUUUUUGUGAAUGUUGGCCUUUCGUUUCGAAGUAUGGGCACAACAUUCACUUUUUGCCGAAGAAGUAUCACUAGUGGUUUGCAUUGGUUCGUCCAAAGGGGUUUUAGUUCCACUUGUGCUCGGGACAUCAUACUUUGUAGGCUCAUUUAGUGGUUCAGGUAUGUAUCUACCUUUUACUCUCCAUGAUGUUUUCUGAGAAAGACCCUUCAUCUCAUUUGCGUUGUCUAUUGGGGCCGACCAGAAGAAUUCGUCACAUCCUCCAGCGUUGUCUUCUUCUACCAUAGUUUUUAACUCUAUAGUUUGUUGUGGAGUGACUCCUGGCACUGUGUAGACUUGGUUUGGGGUAGUUUGAACCUUUUGGUAUACAACAGCUUUAGCUUUGAGAACUUUGGUUUUGUCGGUAGACGAACAAGCAAACUCAACGGAGUUUUCAGAAAUUAGGUUAUUGUGUGACUUAGGUUCGUUUUUGGCUAAUUCAGAACAGUCCACCAGAUCCUCUAUAGAGAUUUCACUCAUAUCAUCAUCCUCAUUAAGUUCAGAUGUAUUUUCAACAUCAAUUUUAUUUUCUGAACUUAAAUUGGCAUUCAAAGAGUCAAAUUUUUGUAUAGUUUCGGCUCUCAAGUUCAAUCUAUCAUUUUCGUCUAACAAAUUUUUGAGCAUGUCCUUGUGGUCCUUGGACUUUAUGUAGGAUUCAAUUUUGUCCAGACCUAUUUUAUAUGCUGGAGACACUUCAUCAUAAGAUACAACACUUUCACAGUUGUAUGCUUCAGCAUUGAUUUCAUCCUCCUUAAAUUCAAGGAAGGGUAAAAUCAUACUGUGUAUCUUCUUCCCUAUUUCACAAUCAAGAUGCAACUGAGUGAUGUUAAAAUAGAGUCUUUUAGCAAUUAAACAAAACACAUUUCACUGUUUAAGAAGUUUAAGAUUGUCUCUUUGCAAAUAAAUAGAAUCAUCUUUAGAUCUAAUUAACUCCUUUUCCUUUUGCUCGAUCCACAUCCUUCGUUCCUCACUCUUUGAAGAAAUCCUGCUGAUUUGAUCAGUUAGGUUAGAAUUUGUGACACGGGUUUGGGUGAGACUGAUACUUAUGCUUGAGAAUUUUGAUUUUAAGUUAUUUAAUUCCUUUUCAUAAUUAUAACAGGUAUUUUUAGAGAAGCAAGAAUGUUUUGUACCUUUUUGAUCAACUCAUCACAUUCGUUGAUCUGAGCACUGACAGGCUUGGCAGCAAAACACCUGUCCUGUCGCUCCCUCUCCUCUUCAACUCCCCCAUUAGUUGUGUAUCUUCUCAUUUGGGACACACCCUCGGUCACUACAAAGCAUCUUCCCGUAGCUUGUUCUUCUUUUUCCAGCAUAGCAUUUCCAUGAGUAGGCUUCCUGACUUCAUUAUCCUCCGAAUCUGUGGAUCAGACCUCCACACCACCAAAUUCAUUUCUGUUGUUUGUAUCCUGCACAAUUAAAGCAUUCAUGGUAGAGUUAUUAGCAGCAAACUUUCUUUUAUUUAUUUCCUCCAAUCUUCUCAGGAGGCUCGCUUCCUCAUCUUCUUCGUUUGUCUUUUCUUUUUUCUUUCUCAACAUACAGUCUUUAGCAAAAUGAUUUUUGCCUCCACAGUAAUGGCAGUCGAAUCCUGAGUAUCCUCCAACUUUUUCUUCCUUCUUUGACUCUUCAAACUUUGACCCCAUCUUCGGUUCCUCCUUGAUCCUUUCGGUGCUGUAACUACCCUGCCAAUUUCGGUUCUUAUUGGCUGGGAAUUUCUUCUUAAUUAAUUUUCUGGGAUUGGACACCAUCAUGGCGUAUUCUUCACUCGUUAGAUCAUAAUUUGCAAGAUCUAAUUCUUCUUCUUCUUCAACCAAACUUUUUCCUUUGGAGACAAGAGCUAAAGAACCCAUACUAGAAACCACAUUCGUUUCCUUAGAUAAAGCAUUCUCAUGGGAUUUUAAAAUACCCACUAGUUUUGCCAGAGAAUAAGAUUUGAACUGUUCAUGAGCUUUGACUGUUGACACAACAGCCAUCCAUUCAGGUCUGAGACCAUUCAUGAAAGUAACCUUUUGUUCGAUGACUUUCCUUUCAAUCCCAUGCUUUAUCAUCUUACUUAAAAGAUGAUUGAAGCGGUUAAAAGUUUGAACAAGUUUUUCUUCAGGCUUCUGCUUAAAUUCACCAAAUUUAGACAACAAGAGAGUUUGGAUAGAGUGUUCCAAAUCUUCGUCUGUGGAAUAUAAUUCUUUCAAUCUAUCCCAAAUCUCUUUGGCUGUAGCACAGGAACUCACUAAGCGAAAUGUGUCCAACUGCAGCGCAAACCUUAUCAUCCUUAGGGCCUUGAUAUUGCAUUGAAACUUCUCCUUUUCAUCCUGAGGAAUAUCUUUGACAUCAUUGACAAGAUGAUUGUAUUCUUUCUAUGUUUUAACAAUCUUAGAUGUGCUUGAGUGAGCGAAUGGGCCUGCAGUAAUAGCUUCCCAGAUUAAAUUACUAUUAUCCUCCGGUCCAAUCACGUAGUCUUCAAAGUGAUGCGUCCAAAAUUCAGAGUCUUGUGUAUACAAGAUCGGUAUUCUUGUUGUAGACCUUAUGCUGUUGGAGAUAUUGAUCGGAUUGGUCUGUGAAUCAUCCAUGGACAAUGUAAAUACUUUUGAUCGAUAACCUGUAAAAGAUCAAACUUGUAAUAUAUCGUUAGGGUUAGAUCAAUAAAAGUGACAGCUCAAUAAAUGUCAAUCAACGGGAAUUAAAACCCUAAGAACUUUUUCGACAGCAGAGAUGUGUAUGAAUUACACAGUUUCCCGCUCUGAUACGAAUUGAUGAGUUUAAAACUCUUAGAUCGAUUAGAUCUUUCACAAGCACGAUUAUGGAAAUCAAACAAUUCAAAAACAAUAUGAGAAUGAAAACAUAUAUGAAUCAAAUAUAUGCUGAUGAUUCAAAACAGAGUCACGCCUCAGCAGAGCUCGAUGAAGAACUUUCGAUGUAGAGGCAAGCUAGGGUUUACAGAAUUAUGAAGCAAAUAAACAGUGAAAGCGAUAACUACUAAGUCUGCAUGCAUGCAGAUUAUAUACUAAACCCUAGUACAAAAAUAUGCAUAGUUGGACAGGCCCAAUACCGACAAUCAAACUGGGCUAAGGACCGAGCCCAUGACGCAAUCUAAUAGACCCAACAGUAACUAUUAUACUAAGUAUUGCAAGGUUGUAAUACUCUUUAUAGGAAACAAAGGUUACAAGUUUGCAAAGUUGUAAGUUUGGAUAUUGUUUCUUUAUGGAAAGUUAUAGGGAGAGGAUACUCAUUCUUCAUUUCAAAUCUAAAAACAUAGAUUGAAAUUUUAGUUGAACUUAGUCAUAAACAUAUAUGAAUGUUAUGUUGAAAUGAUUCAACAUAUUGAAGUUCUAUAUAUGGAAAUAUUAUAGCAAGAGAAUGAUAAAGUGUCAUGUCUUUAUGUAAGACAUUAUGUAUCAAAUCCCAUAUGCUUGGUAUAUAGGACUGAUUACAUAUGCUAUUGAUGGGUUUUGAGCAUUCUAACACUUCCUAAGUCUACAUGCAACCCUAAUAACCUUGGAUCUAUGUUUGUCUAAUUAUCAUGCAAAGUUGAAUUCCAAGGUUAUAUUCCUAUCUAGCAUACAUGGGGAACAAUUUUUAACUGGAAUGAAAGAUAGAAUAACAUACCUUGUUGUUGCUUAUGAUCCUUGAAACCUUGUGAGCCUAGCACCCCAAGUGUGAUGCCUCAAAUGCUUCACACAACACCAAAUGUAAAGGAGUGAACUUUUUGAGAGAAUACACACUUGAAAAAUCGGCCUAGCCCUCACUUGUUCUUGUGUAACCGAUUUUGGUGGAGAAUGGGUUCCUUAUAUAGUGUUGACAGAUCUAGGGUUACACCAUGUAAACCCUAAUGUGUCAUGACUCUUCAUUUCCAUGACCCAUGGGUUUGUAACUCCCAUGGAGCAUCCAUGGAGCAUCCUAUGGGUAGAACCCAACUUGAUAAUCCAUGGAGCCUCUUAGCCCACUAUACAAGAUAUGGAUGAUUUACAUAAUCAACCCAUAUAUUUAAUUAGUUAUCCUUUGAUCACUUAAUUAAUUCCAAAUUAAUUCUUUGAUCAACUAAUCAAAUAAUAUUAUUAAUAUAUUAGAACUUAUAAUAUAUUAAUAAACCACAAGUGUUAUUUCUCUCAUUUAGUCUAUCCAAUUGCAUGGUGCCAUGCAACCCAAAUGGACCAUGCCGGGUCGGGUCAAGUACAAACCAGAAAUAGUUAUGGACUUAGACACUAUAUCCAACAGUCUCCCACUUGGAUAAGUUUAAUAACUAUAACUGCAAUACUUCAGGAACCGAUCGGAAAUCGUGGUUCUUUCAAGGUCUCUCGAAACUGAGAAGAUGUUGAUACACCAAUUAAGAUAAGUGAUCAUACAAUCCUCUGUUCUAGAUAUCAGCCGGACAAAUACAUGGAACAAUGUCUUACUUAUUGUCCAACAGUUUGUUUCCCGAUUUCCGAUUUGUUUGACAAAGAACUUAAUUGAACACAUCAACUUAGUUCUGACCGGGCCCGGUACAUAGGUCAAAACAAAAUCAUCGAGGGGCCCAGAUAUCAGCUUCUAAUCCAAGAAGGAACAGAUAAACUUCGACUCAUAUGUUUGUUCUACCACUCAUUGAAUUAUACACAAAAGCACGUUUUAUAACAUCGAGUUACCAAUGCGUUUUCGUACAAUCAAUGCAUAACCAACUUGUAAGUAACAAAUCAUAUCUCUAGGUUUGAAGACUUAUAUGAUAUUACCGUCUCACGAUCACUCGAGUAAAAUUCCAUGAAGUGAUUCCAGUGAGCGUGGGUUGAGUCCAAUGCUCAGAACUUAUGAGCACUCAUGAGUGUUGUAGCCAUGUCCAACACCUUAGACCUCUGCAACCAAUCAUGACAGUCUUGAUUCAUACCUACUUCCGACAUAUGACCGACUGUGGAGGUUCGAAUAAUAUGAUAUACCAAACAUAAUUAUUCUGGAAGUCAAAACAUGCAAAAGAAAUAUACUAAACGAUCGACAAGAGAUAGCAACACUUUACUCAUAAAUAAAACACCUUUUAUUCAUCAUCUAAUGUCAUGUCAAUUACAUUUUACAAUUUCAAGGUUAUUUAACUACUAAAUCUAAUAUCAUCCUUCAACCCUAUGCUCCGAGCAUGCUGGAGAUGCUUAACCCGAGUCAGUCCCUUCGUGAGGGGAUCUGCUGGAUUCUCAUCCGAUGAUACCCUCUUUUCCACGAGGAGUCCUUCUUCUAUACGAUGUCUAAUGAAAUGGUAUUUUCUGUCGAUGUGUCUGGAUCUCCCGUGAUCCCUUGGUUCCUUGGCUAAGGCAACAGCACUUUCACUAUCACAGAAAAUUUCCAUUGGCUCCUUAAUAGCUAGUACAACUCCAAGGUCUCCAAUGAAGUUCUUCAGCCAUAUCGCCUCCUUUGCUGCCUUGCUCGCUACUAUAUCUCUGAUUCACAAGUGGAAUCAGCCACAGUCUCUUGCUUGGAACUCUUCCAAGAAAUUGAUCCUCCGUUUAAGGUAAAGACCCAGCCUGACUAAGAGCAGAAAUUAUCCCUAUCAGUCUGGAAGCUAGCAUCACUAUACCCUACAACUCUCAAGUCAUCACUCCCACCGAGGAUAAGAACCCAAUCCUUAGUCCUCCAUAGGUACUUGAGGAUAUUCUUUACCGCAGUCCAGUGUGCCUUGCCAGGGUUCCCCUGAUACCUGCUAACCAUGCUCAAAGCAAAGGCUACAUCAGGUCGAGUACACGUCAUAGCAUACAUGAUCGAUCCUACAGCCGAAGCAUAAGGUAUUCGACUCAUUUCUUCUAUCUCAGCCUCAGUACUAGGGUUUGUGUCUUACUCAAUCUGGUGUUACUCUAGAUAGGUAACUCUCCUUUCUUGGAGUCCUACAUGCUGAAUCUCUUCAGCAACUUAUCCAAGUAGGUACUCUGACUAUGUCCAAUUAAUCUUUUCCUCCAGUCUCUCAAGAUCCUAAUCCCUAGAAUACAGGCAGCUUCUCCUAGCUCCUUCAUAGAGAAACACUUCCCAAGCCAGGACUUAACUUCCUGCAGAGUUGGGAUGUCAUUUCCUAUGAGUAGUAUGUCAUCCACAUACAAUACCAAAAAGCUAACUAUACUCCGACUAUCCUUGACAUAUACUGUCACACCCCAAAACCGAGAACGGCGGAAACGUUCUAGGGCGGAGGACGUCAUGUAAUGUAUCACAACAAUGUAAAGUAGUAUACAAGCAACCACAUCAUCCAUUUCAUUAAUAGUAUAAUUUUAAUUACAAGUGUGUUCUUUCAUAAUAUAAGACAACAUAAUAAAUCAUCCAAAUAAAAGACGAGUCUGAACUGCUCUGUCUUCACAAAACUUGAUCGGCGUACCUAUCUAUUUGUGACCUGAGAAUACAAGUUAUUUUGAAAGCGAGUAUCAGCGAAAAAGCUGGUGAAUUCAUAAGUAUUAAUGUGUCUUUGAUUUGUAAAACUUGUAAUGAAAGUCUUGACAUUGUUUUUGAAAGAAAGUUCAUAUAAGUAUGUGAAGAUUUGUAAGUAAUGGAAAGCGUUUGAAUAACCCUAGAAAUCCUUAUGAUCCCUAUAAAAGAAGUCUUCUACCAAGACCCUACUGUUUUGAAAGUAGUCUUCUACCAAGACCCUACUGUUUUGAAAGUAAGCAUCUCUAUAAAUGUGAUAGUUUUUCCAUGUUUAACUAUUAGUAUAAAACUAUAGUAUACCUCAUCGUUUAUGUGUAUGAGUCACAAUAUAAAGGUAAUAAGGAAAAAUAGUUAUCUAUAUCAAAUAUAUCCUACCUCGUCGAUCAUGUGAAUGUGUCACAAAGUAAAGGAAGAAAUAAUAUAACGACCUAAGUAUUAUCCUUUUGUACUAGGAUAACUAACAGUGUUAACCUAAGACAUUCGUAGAUGUACAUUUACCUCUGUUGCUAACAGCUGGGUGUAGGAAUAGUUAGUCCCUUAAAGUAUACAUGUAAUGGUAUCAACCGAAGACAUCCGUAGAUGUUCAUUUACCUCUGUAGCUAACAGUGGUGAUAGGAAUGGUUAAUCCCACAAAGUAUCCUUUGGUACUAGGAUAUAAAGUCCAAUCUAUCUCGUCGAUGAUGUGAUUGUAUCACAAGGUAAAGAUAAGAAGGAGAACUAUAUAACAAUAUCUACACAUAUAACAUGUAAUAGUAACUCAUCAUAUAUUAUCUACGUAAACGUGCUCAUCUAAUCGUAUCUAUGUAAACGUAUUCAUGUAAACGUAUCUAUGUAANACUGUAGACAUCCGUAGAUGUGCAUUUACCUCUGUUGCUAACAGCCGGGUUUAGGAAUAGUUAGUCCUUAAAGUAUACCUGUAAUGGUAUCAACCGAAAACAUCCGUAGAUGUUCAUUUACCUCUGUAGCUAACAGUGGUGAUAGGAAUGGUUAGUCCCACAAAGUAUCCUUUGGUACUAGGAUAUAAAGUCCAAUCUAUCUCGUCGAUGAUGUGAUUGUAUCACAAGGUAAAGAUAAGAAGGAGAACUAUAUAACAAUAUCUACACAUAUAACAUGUAAUAGUAACUCAUCAUAUAUUAUCUACGUAAACGUGCUCAUCUAAUCGUAUCUAUGUAAACGUAUUCAUGUAAACGUAUCUAUGUAAACGUAUUCAUGUAAGCGUAUCUACGUAAACGUAUUCAUAUAUAUCUAUGUAAACGUAUUCAUGUAACAUGUAAUGUACUAGUAUAGACUCAUGAAUGAACUGACUCUUGUGUGAUUCCCUGUACAUGGAAUGGUAAGUGGUAUCUCCUAACUAUACCUAUAAUAGUUACUAACCAUGUACGUGUAUAACCUGAAGUAUGCCUUUGCUACCCAAAGGUACUGAACUGACUAAGGAAACUUUUAUGUCUCUAUAUGUAUACAUGAUAUAUAACUGAUAGUUAAACGACCUUCGGACGGAUACCCGAUACCCUACCAGACCACAUCCCAACAGGGAAAAGGAAAUAAGGCAGGUUAGCCUUCCUAAGUCCUUUAAACAUUAUUUAUAUAACUAUACAUAUACAGGCAUGAAAUUGACAAUAUAAAAAAAUAUAAGGAGUUUUUAUAAAACCUUUGAAAAAGAUUAAUACCUAAGAAAAGAUCGACUUGAUGUCAGUUUAUAAAAUGGUUUGGAAGUAUUUGUUUGACAAAAGCAGUUUAAGUAUAAAGGAACCUUUGUUUGAAACACAAUGUAGCAGGGUUUAAAAUGAACAUACAGUGUUUAAUAAACAGUUUAAUAAAGUGUUCUAAACACUUAAAAACGUUUAAGAAAGUCAUUUGAAGAAAUCUGUUUGGUAAAAUAGUUAACGUAUAGUAAAUCCAUUUGCAUGCUAGUUAUUAAUCACAUGUGAUUGAUAUAAUAACUAAACACAAUUCAACUUGUAUUCCCCCCAUAAAGCAUUUAUAAACAUUUAAAAACAUUUAAAAGGUUAAUUAAGUGGUAUGAACUCACUUGAUAGAUUGAAGAAGGUGAGACGAAAGUCGAGCAGAACUUCGACUGGAAAGAAGUCGAUUUCGUGGAAAUCUUGAUACUUCAGGACUUGCGUCGUGUGUUGGAGGUGUUACCGGGGCUUCGAGGUAGUUUAGAGGGGCUUAAUAGGGUGUAGAAGUAGGAGAAAUGAUAGAAAUGAACAACCAAAGCCGGCUGCCCUCGAUUCCUAUUUAUAGGGUGAAUUUUGGGUCUCACGUCGUGAGUUUUUCAUAAUUCACGUCGUGAGUUUCAUCCCAAAUCAUCAUGGCACGCGUCACACGUCAAGUGGCUCUGGAAGGGUCAUUCAAGGGGCUCACGUCGUGAGUUCUGACACAGAGUCGGGAUUCGUGCCCGAACUUCAGAAAUUCAUAACUUUCGCAUCCGACCUCCGUUUUCGAAGUUCUUUAUAUGCACGCGUAGGUGAGAUUAUGCUCUACAACUCUUGUUUAGACUCUGUUCCCUAAUUUUGACUUUAUUUUUAGUAUAUUAUUGAUAUAUUAUCUUUAUAUUAUUUUUAGUAGGCCGGGACACUAAAACCCCGUCAUAAAUCCAUAACUUCUUCAUCCGACGUCCGUUUUCGUCAGACUUUUUACCGUUGCGCUACUAUUGUUGAGACCUUUGAUUCUCAUUUAGUUUGUGUCGGCAAAAAGUCUCUCGAUCUCUAUUUCGAGUUUUUAGCUGUCUACUGCUAUAUCCGUAACUUAGAAAAAUCAUAACUUCCUCAUACGAAGUCAGAUUUGGACGUUCUUUUUAUGUACAUUUACGGUUUAAUGUUAUCUACAACUUCCAUUUACAUACUUAAGGCUAAAAAACUAUUGUACUGAAACUUCGCGUUUUUCGUUUAAUCGGUGUUGCCGGUUUUGCUGAGAAUCUUCGGUUGGUCAUAACUUCUUCGUUAUAACUCGGAUUUUAGGGUUCUUUAUACGUACGAAAACCUUGAUACGAUUCCUACUACUUUAUUUAACCCAAAUAAGAUUUUAGGAAAGUUAUAUUUUGACCUAAAUUUUACUGGUGUUACAUUUUAUUGUCUCAAAAUAUUGGGUCGUCACAUAUACACAAGAUUCAUAUUCACUCCUAGAAAAGCCAAAUUCUUUGACUUUCUCAUCAAAGCAAAGACUCCAUCUGCGAGGUGCUUGCUUUAACCCAUAAAUGGAUUUCUCACGCUUACACACUCUAUUAGGGUACUAUGUAUUGACAAAACCCUUUGGCUGACUCAUGUAAACAUCCUCAUCCAACUUUCCAUUAAGGAAAGCGGUUUUGACAUCCAUUUGCCACAUUUCAUAGUCAUGAAAUGCAGCUAUGGCUAACAGAACCCUAAUAGACUUAAACUUGGCCACUGGAGAAGAAGGUCUAAUCAUAAUCUACUCCCGGAGUUUGUAAGAAACCCUUUGCAACCAGUCGUGCCAUAUAAGUGUGUACAUUACCAUCCAUGUCGGUCUUCUUCUUGACGAUCCAUUUGCACCCUACAGUCUUACGACCUAGUACAUUCCUAAACAAGUUCCAAACUUGAUUUUCAUCCAUGGACUGUAUCUCGCUGUCCAUUGCCUCUUUCCACUUGGCUUACUCAAGGCCUGCCAUGGCUUCCGCGUAACUGUUAGGUUCAUCCAGACCUAUCAGUGUCUCAUCACUGAUAAGUGUAUCACCUUCCGCAGUAAUAUGGAAUCCAUAGUAAUGCUCAGGUGCAUUCCUAACCCUUGUGGAACGCCUCAGAGGUACAGACUUGUCAAUUGGCUCAACAGGAGUUUCCUCCUCAAGUUGAGUGCUAGGGUUUGAAGUUCCUUCACCGCUUGACUCUUCAAUUUCUUCCAGGUCAACUUGCCUCCCACUGUUUCCUCGUCUUAUGAACUCUCUCUCUCUCUCUCUCUCUCUCUCUCUCUCUCUCUCGAUAGAACCCCCUCCUAGCUACAAAGACCAUAUUUUCACUAGGUCUGUAGAAGAGGUAACCAAAGGAUUGAUGUGGGUAGCUGAUGAAAAUACACCUCUCGCUUCGAGGUUCGAGCUUAUCAUGAGUCUCGCGUCUCACGAAAGCCUCGCAACCCUAAAUCUUGAUGUGGUCUAGUUUGGGUACUUUACCAGUCCACAUCUCAUGAGGAGUUUUGGCAACUUUCUUUGUAGGGACUAGAUUAAGGAUAUGGGCGGCAGUCUCUAAGGCAUACCCCCAGAAUGAGAUUGGUAGCGAAGCUCGACUCAUCAUGGAACGAACCAUAUCUAACAAGGUUCGAUUACGCCUCUCAGCCACACCAUUCAACUGUGGUGUCCUGGGAGGUGUCAAUUGUGAGACUAUCCCACAUUCCCUUAGAUAGUCGAGGAACUCUGAACUAAGAUACUCACCACCACGAUCGGAUCGAAGCAUCUUAAUGUUCCUGCCCAAUUGAUUCUCGACUUCCUGUUUAAAUUCCUUAAACCUCUCGAAAGUCUCUGACUUAUGCUUGAUCAAGUAGACAUAUCCAUAUCUACUAUAAUCAUCAGUAAAAGUCAAAUAAUAACGAUUAGCAUCCCUUGUGGCAUGUUUGAAUGGUCCACACACAUCCGUGUGUAUAAGGUCCAACAAACCUUCACCCCUCUCACACGAACCUGUGAAGGGUGACUUUGUCAUUUUUCCAAGUAAGCAUGAUUCGCAACUAUCAUCUGACUUUAGGUCAAACGACUCCAAGACUCCAUCCUUUUGGAGUUGGCCUAUGCGUUUCUUGCUUAUAUGUCCAAGACGACAAUGCCAUAAAGAUGCUUUAUCCAAGUUAUUAUUAGUAGAAUCAAUACACAAAACAUUAUUUCCCAAGUUAUCUACAACAGAUACAGCUUCAUACACACCAUCACAAGGUAAUGCUUUAAAAUAAAAGACAUUAUUAUAGAAAACAUCUAUAGAACCAACUUCAUUAUUAAAUGAAAAGGUAAACCCUUGUUUGUACAAAGCAUGAAAGGAAAUAAUAUUUCUUGCCAUUCCUGGCGAAUAACAACACUUAUUCAAAUCUAAACUAAACCCACUACUUAGCGAUAAAGUAUAAACUCCAAUCUUGGUAACAGGUAUAGCUUUCCUAUUCCCCAUGAUCAAGUUUAUCCUUCCUUGCUCCACAUCCUCACUUCUUCUUAGUCCCUGCAAGUCACAACAAAUGUGAAUACCACACCCGGUAUCAAGGACCCAAGAAUUAGAAUGGGGUGAGUUAUUAGAAAUGAUAGUGUAAAUACCUGCAUGGUUGGGUUUAACUUUCCCAUCCUUCACAUCUUGCUGGUAUUUUGGGCAGUUCCGCUUCCAAUGAGCUUUUUCAUGGCAAUAGAAGCAUUCAGCCUCUUUUGGGUCAGAAGAAGGAGUAACGAAACCUUUCUUGGUUCCACUUGAAGAAGAGCCAUCAAGGGUCCGAGCCUUGGUACCCUUAGAAGAGCUCUUUCUCUUCCUCCCUCGACUUUUCCCGAUUGCCAAAACCGGAGUAGAGUUUUGAGUAGGAGUGAUAGCAACCGACUUCCCCUUAAGACCUGUUUCUGCGGUCUUGAGAAGUCCCUGAAGUUUGCUGAGGGUGACUUCUUCCUUGUUCAUGUGAUAUGUCAUGCGGAAUUGAUCAUAGCACGAUGGUAAGGAAUGCAAAAUAAUAUCUAUUGCAAGAUCCUCCGGGAAGUUCACAUUAAGCUUCAGCAAACGAUCCACAUACCUUUGCAUUUUCUGCAUGUGGUUCGUGACGGAUUCCCCGUCCUUCAUCAUGGUUGUUAUGAUGGAGCAGAUGAUUUCAUACCUCUCUUGUCUUGCACUUUGAUGGUAUCUUUCCAUAAGAUCUUGGUGCAUUUAAAAAGGGUAAAAGUCCUCAUAGGACUUUUGGAGUUCCGCUGUAAUUGUGUCCAACAUGAUGCAUGCCACUUUGGUAGCAUCCCUUUCAUGUGCCCGGAAGUCAGCGAUCUCCUGAGGAGUUGCAGUGGACUCAUCAAUCUCCUUAAGCUCCUUGUCAAGGACAUAUUCUUUGUCCUCGUAGCGGGUAAUCAUCCUGAUGUUUCUGAUCCACUCAUUGAAGUUGGAUCCAUCAAAGGUGACUUUCCCACACAAGUUCAUAAGGGUAAAGGAGCCAUUAGGAUUAGAGCCAGAAGCAUUGUUGAAAGACAUCUGAAGGAAAGAGGACAAGAUUAGUUUAGAUAUAAGAGAGUCCUUAAUAAAACACCCAAAUGUAAUAUUAAGGCUAGGAUCCAAUCACAAUAUAAUAUAACUUAGAAGAGGUAUGCCGUAAUCUAAGCUAUAUCAUAUUUGAAAGGUAGGUGAAUGACGAUUCACCAAUUUCCACCACGAAAACCGCAAUAUUUUAGUAUUAGGUUUUUGAAUGGUUCUUAGAAAUUCCUAGAUUCUUUGAGAUUCAAUGAACUUUUCAAAGGCAUGUUUCAAUCUCGAGUGUGCCCUCCAAGUUUUGUGACUGGGAUGCCGAGGAUCACAAAACGAGGUGUGAAGUAACCAUGCAAAUCACUUGGUACCCUUAAGGUUUAUCACUCAAUCGAUGUGCCAGUAAACCACACACGCUCCACCGAUACUAUUAUAAACC
RNAcentral lists this long non-coding RNA (35236 nucleotides) under Lactuca sativa (garden lettuce). Its description in RNAcentral is "long non-coding RNA (LSAT_LNC000946)". Lineage: Eukaryota; Viridiplantae; Streptophyta; Magnoliopsida; Asterales; Asteraceae. The record is from RNAcentral.